GCAAAGUGUGUCUGAGUCAGGAGAGAGAUGGCGCGCGAAGUGUGGACGCUCCUGCUCGUGCUCUUGCUCUUGCUCCCGGCCCUUGGCCACGCGCAGAGCGGAGACGGAGGCAGUGAAGAUGGGGACGCAGAUCUAAAUGCCGAGCCUGAAUGCUUCAGUGAGAUCAGCCUCAAAGUCAGCAAUAUAACCUGUUUCUUUUCUGACGUCAUUAUUGGCACCAAAAUGAGUCUUUGCUCAUUGCCACCAGAUGCUAGGUGUUGGAAUUCAACUUUGAAAGGAUCUUAUUUCACUGCAGCCAUUAAUAACAUAUUGGCUAAACAUACACUCACCGUUCAAGAAGGCAAACCGAUUGUUUUGGUGGUAACAGAUAUACUCAAGCUCCCACCGCCACAGAAUAUAACAGCCAUAUAUGACAAAAACUCAGGAGAUGUAAACAUUAGUUUUAGUGAGUACAGGCAUGACUAUGUGAAGCACUUCAAUUUUCAUGUGGAAAUCUUGAAUGAAACAAAAGUUAUGAACUUUACGAAACAAAAUGAUAAUUCAAUCAUUGCACGGGACAUGCUGGGAGAUGUGAAGGGUGGCUCUAAGUAUAGGGUGAGAGCAAGAGUCAGGCCACAAACGUUUUUUUUCAAUGGACCCUGGUCAGAAUGGAGCCCAAUGCAAACCUUCACUGUGGACAAAGAUGAUGAACAAGAUCAAGUCUUGUUGUACUCAUUUAUCAUUGGCACCAUCGCCAUGCUGCUGCUUGUCAUCUGCCUGAUCACCUGGUUUCGGAGGAAGGAGUGAGUCUGACACAUCUGUUCAUUCCACUGCUCACUUUUGGCCCCCAUUGCCAACUCACUCACACUCACCCUCUGCUAUUAUUAUUCAACCCUUUCCUCCUGCUAGACUCAAAGCCUUGUAGAAGGUGGCAGAAAAUGUGAACCGCGGCAAAGUCAGAUUGCAUAAGGUUCACUAGAUAGAUAUCUUAAUAAAAAUGUGCAAAUGUGGCAAUAAUAGAUAACUUGUGUGAACAUUUUUACUUAAACUAGAAGUGUGAUUUUACUUAAAGUUGUUUUUGUUUAGAUUUAGAGUGAGAUUUUACUUAACCUUUAAAGAAUAAUUAUCUAAGUUUAAAGUCUGUUUUUACUUAAUAUUUAAAGAAUAAUUAUUUAACUUUAAAGAUUCUACUUAGAAUUAAGAGAAUAUUUGCAGAAAAUGUAAAGUAUUUUAAUCAAGCUUAUAGAGUAUACGCUCAGUAAAUGGUGCUUACAGUUUUUCUCAAAAGCUAAAACACAUUUCACAAACGUUUCCUCCAUGUUCCCCAAUGUCUAAACACACUACCCUUUUCUAAAGCUACAUAAGCACAACCACACCUUCUCACUUCAAAACUCAAACUUUCACACCAAAAGAGCAGCUUGAAGCUUUCAAAAAUGUAAACACUAUACACAUCAUUACACACUACAGCAAAACAAUUUAAAACACAUUGCUCAAUUUGUGAGAAGGUUCUUUGUUUCAUAACUGCCAAUGCAUAUUUUUUAAAAACUUUAGAGGAACGGAUCUUCUUAGAUCUCUGCAAAGGAUUAGGCAUUUGAAGAGUUCUUUUCAAAAAAUGCUAUAUCCACCAUUUUACUAAUGAAUUUUCACAAAUAUAUUUUCUAAAUUUUGUUUUUCAAAUAAUCUCAGUGAAACUGUAUGAGUUAACAAAACAACUGCAUUUUUAUUGAUAUUACCUGAAACACACAAUUACUGUAAAUACAGUAACAUAAUUUGUUACAGUACAGUAAUGUUUUCAAAAAUGGAUUUAUAGCGUUUUGGAAAAGAGCUCUUCAUUUAGAGUUGUGAGUUUCAUAUGAAGAGUACAGAAAAUUCUGCAAGUACACUACUGUAACACAACUCAAUGCAAAAAAAAACAGAAUCUAUUGCACACAACAGUACUCUUGAAAACAUGAUCAGGGUGUGAAGGUCUUUUACAGUUUUUUUCAAUUGCUUACACACAAUUUUUCAAACCGAGUUCUUUUUAACAAAAUUUAAGCACAGGUAUCCAAACGCCACACUCAGUUUGCAUAAUUCCUAGAUUCUUUGCAAAAUGAAACACUUCAGUCAAAACAAACACUUCAUUCAAAACAUACACACUUCAGUCAAAACAUAUACACAUAUUUGUAAAAAUGCUAUUAGUUGUCAUUUAACAAACACGGUCCUCAAUGAUCUGACACUAUUGCAGCCAGUUUCACACUGCAGUGAUAAAUGCAAAACGCAUUUGUAAAAAGAAAAAUUUGGAAAUAGCAUGUGCUAGAUUUUUGCCCAGACAUUGUUAUGUAGGGGAUCAUUUAGAUGUCCAAAAAAUAGUGACAAACCCACAACAUUCUUCAUGAUUACUGUAGUUCGACAUAGGGAAAGUGUACAUAAGUAGGUCUAUAAACUUGCACUUGCAUUGUACAACACUGAAGACUGCUGUAGACUGAAUAUUUCAAGUAUUUCGUUCAAUACUUACAGUAUUUCUAACCAUAAUCAGUUACAGUAAUCAACCAACAAUGAAAUCAAUUGAACAAAUAAAAUAUGUAGACAAACAAAAACUACUGCAUAAAGUACGUACACUUUGACUCUGAAGAGCAACUACUGCAAAAGCAACAAGACUGUAUAGCACACCUGAGUGCUGCAUUUUCAAUUUUGCACAUGUGUGCUUACACACCUGGUGGAUGUGAUUAUCCAAUUCGUUCAUUAGUGUAGUCAUUGGCAAUCCGGGGCUUUGUAAUGACAAGGAAGUAACCUCACACUCCUUAUCUGUGUCUAAGGUGUGGAAAUGUGUGUAGAGUUUUACAAAUCACUGUGUGUAAUGUUUUGCAAAAAGGGUGAAGCAGACAUUGUGUGUAAUGUUGUGCAAAUCUGUGGAGGUGUUUUGCUCCUUGAAGUAAAAUUUUGCUAAUUGUGUGAAAAAAAAUAUUUUAGUGUGUAAACAAUCGUAAAAAAAUGUAUUUUCUUCAUUCACACCACACACACACACACACACACACACACACACACACACACCACAGUCACUGUGCGCAUUAGCAACAAGUGUCUUCAAUUUUGAGUCGUUGUGUGUAAUAAAUGACGCCAGGUGUGUUCAUUGUGUUCAGUAAUUGCUGACUGUGGCAAGCAUUUUGCAUGCAUGAGCUUUCAUUUGAGAAUUUGUUUUGCAACAUUUGUUUUAGCAAGGAAAAAUGUGCUUAGAUUUAUGAGAACGGAGGAUUGUGUUUUGUGAAUUGUGUCUUCAUGUGAAAUGUGUUUAUGGUAUUGAAAAAUUAUGGCUAGAUUUAGUAAAUGUGUUUAGACAACUGGUCAUUUGAUUUAGGGGAUUGGCUUUUAUGUUUUAGCAUUUGAGAAAAACUGUAAUAACCACAUAACCAUAUAAAAGCAAAAUGCGUAUGCUGUAUAAGUCAGAGUUUAAAGGGAAGUCACCAGAAAGAGGAACAUGAGAUAGACAGACAGCUGAUUGUGAUAUGAUGCAAUAGGUUCAGGCUCCGAUGGACAAGUAUAAAAGUACAUAACUGGGGCUCUGCGCGGCUCUCCAUCACUUCUCUUGAACUUCAGAGACUGAGAGCAAGAAAAUUAUUUUUAUUUUUGUAUUGUAAUCAAUAAACUCAGGACCCUAACCCUUGGUUAGGGGUUUUAUUAAAAGGCA
Molecule: long non-coding RNA, 3643 nt
Organism: Sardina pilchardus (European sardine)
Lineage: Eukaryota; Metazoa; Chordata; Actinopteri; Clupeiformes; Clupeidae
Exons: 6
Source: RefSeq, a predicted model, not a curated record